UAACACAUGCAAGUCGAGGGGAAACGACAUCGAAAGCUUGCUUUUGAUGGGCGUCGACCGGCGCACGGGUGAGUAACGCGUAUCCAACCUACCCAUCACUUGGGGAUAACCUUGCGGAAGUAAGACUAAUACCCAAUGACGUCUCUAGAAGACAUCUGAAAGAGAUUAAAGAUUUAUCGGUGAUGGAUGGGGAUGCGUCUGAUUAGCUUGUUGGCGGGGUAACGGCCCACCAAGGCAACGAUCAGUAGGGGUUCUGAGAGGAAGGUCCCCCACAUUGGAACUGAGACACGGUCCAAACUCCUACGGGAGGCAGCAGUGAGGAAUAUUGGUCAAUGGGCGAGAGCCUGAACCAGCCAAGUAGCGUGCAGGAUGACGGCCCUAUGGGUUGUAAACUGCUUUUAUAAGGGAAUAAAGUGAGUCUCGUGAGACUUUUUGCAUGUACCUUAUGAAUAAGGACCGGCUAAUUCCGUGCCAGCAGCCGCGGUAAUACGGAAGGUCCGGGCGUUAUCCGGAUUUAUUGGGUUUAAAGGGAGCGUAGGCCGGAGAUUAAGCGUGUUGUGAAAUGUAGACGCUCAACGUCUGCACUGCAGCGCGAACUGGUUUCCUUGAGUACGCACAAAGUGGGCGGAAUUCGUGGUGUAGCGGUGAAAUGCUUAGAUAUCACGAAGAACUCCGAUUGCGAAGGCAGCUCACUGGAGCGCAACUGACGCUGAAGCUCGAAAGUGCGGGUAUCGAACAGGAUUAGAUACCCUGGUAGUCCGCACGGUAAACGAUGGAUGCCCGCUGUUGGUCUGAAUAGGUCAGCGGCCAACGAAAGCAUUAAGCAUCCCACCUGGGGAGUACGCCGGCAACGGUGCAACUCAAAUG
RNAcentral lists this ribosomal RNA (867 nucleotides) under uncultured bacterium. RNAcentral's name for it is "bacterial SSU rRNA". It matches the Rfam family "Bacterial small subunit ribosomal RNA", at positions 49 to 907 of the family's 1533-position model. The record is from RNAcentral.